CGGAGAGUGCAAACGUUGUUCGGAUUCACUGGGCGUAAAGGGCACGUAGGCGGCUCGGCAAAUCGGUCGUGGAAUCUCGACGCUUACCGUCGAAACGGCGGCCGAAAAUACCGGGCUCGAGGGCGUGAGGGGUCACUGGAACUCCUGGUGAGGCGGUGAAAUGCGUAGAUAUCAGGAGGAACGCCGGAGGCGAAAGCGAGUGACUGGCGCGUUCCUGACGCUGAGGUGCGAAAGCUAGGGGAGCAAACAGGAUUAGAUACCCUGGUAGUCCUAGCCGUAAACGAUGGACACUGAGUGGAGGAGGGCUUGCCUUUCUCUGCUGCAGCUAACGCGUUAAGUGUCCCGCCUGGGGAGUACGGCCGCAAGGUUA
This 370-nucleotide ribosomal RNA is filed under the name uncultured organism. RNAcentral's name for it is "bacterial SSU rRNA". It matches the Rfam family "Bacterial small subunit ribosomal RNA", at positions 526 to 896 of the family's 1533-position model. The record is from RNAcentral.